CCUACGGGAGGCAGCAGUGGGGAAUAUUGGACAAUGGGCGAAACUCUGAUGCAGCGACGCCGCGUGAGUGAAGAAGUCUUUCGGUAUGUAAAGCUCUAUCAGCAGGGAAGAAAAUGACGGUACCUGACUCUGAAGCCCCGGCUAACUACGUGCCAGCAGCCGCGGUAAUACGUAGGGGGCAAGCGUUAUCCGGAUUUACUGGGUGUAAAGGGAGCGUAGACGGCAGGGCAAGUCUGAAGUGAAACCCCAUGGCUUAACCGUGGAACUGCUUUUGAUACUGUGCAGCUGGAGUGCAGAAGAGGUAAGCGGAAUGCCUGGUGUAGCGGUGAAAUGCGUAGAUAUUAGGAAGAACACCAGUGGCGAAGGCGGCUUACUGAACUGUAACUGACGUUGAGGCUCGAAAGCGUGGGGAGCAAACAGGAUUAGAUACCCUAGUAGUC
Molecule: ribosomal RNA, 440 nt
Filed under: uncultured bacterium
Lineage: Bacteria
Description: partial 16S ribosomal RNA
Rfam family: Bacterial small subunit ribosomal RNA
Source: RNAcentral